GACAGAGGGUGCAAACGUUGCUCGGAAUUACUGGGCGUAAAGGGCGUGUAGGCGGGAAGGCAAGUCGGGCGUGAAAUCCCCAAGCUCAACUUGGGAACUGCACUCGAAACUGCCUUUCUUGAGUGCCGGAGAGGAAAGCGGAAUUCCUGGUGUAGAGGUGAAAUUCGUAGAUAUCAGGAGGAACACCAGUGGCGAAGGCGGCUUUCUGGACGGUUACUGACGCUGAGACGCGAAAGCGUGGGGAGCAAACAGG
RNAcentral lists this ribosomal RNA (253 nucleotides) under uncultured bacterium. RNAcentral describes it as "partial 16S ribosomal RNA". It matches the Rfam family "Bacterial small subunit ribosomal RNA", at positions 524 to 776 of the family's 1533-position model. The record is from RNAcentral.